CUAGUCCCAAUCCUCUAAGGAUUUAGACUCCCAAAGAAAAAAUUAAAAGGAAUAAUGUUAUUCUAAAGGCAAUAAGGACUGAAAUUAAGACUCUAAAAUUUAUAUAAAAAAAAAAAAGUCCAAAUGACAUCUAGACAGAUUUUCCAGCAAUGAUGAAAAUUACAAAAAAUUGCCCCUUAGACUUACAUUGUACAUUACUAGAUCAGUAACUACUUUAUUAGGAAUAAACAUAAAUAGAUGACUCUUUAAGAACUAAGAAAUACCGUAUAAUAUUUUUAACAACCUUAUACUAAAUCUGCACCAUACUUCUAAGCUUCUUGAGACCUUAAUCUUAUUUUUCUAGAGCUUCUUGUUGCCUACACAAGAUAUCUGAAAUCCCUUACGCACAAGGUUAUAGCUCCAUCUCAUCUAUAUUUCUACCAGCUAAAUCCUCAGUUCUUUCAAAGGAACUCACCAACACACAAAUUCUAGCCUGUUCCACAAGAUCCACCUAUAGUUACAAAAUUACACGCCUACCAUGCAACACGUCUCACAACUGCACCAUAUAACUCCUAUAGUCCAGCUUCAGAUAUUUAACCUACUGCUGUAAGAAAUUACCUUCUGUGACUGGUCCAACAAACUUCAGCCUUAGGCCCCUCAAAGUAAGACAGGUUGAACGACAUUCAACUCAAAUAGGAUAAUAGGAUAAGCACUCUAAGACAACUUAGUUUUUAUUAUCCUCAAGUAGUUCUCACUGGCUAUUGCUAUGUUGUUGCCUCUGACAUCUAAAUUCCUAGCCCUUCCCAAGGCAGAACUACUUGUAUGUAUUUCUAGUACUUUUCACACAUCAUAUGAUAGAAGAGCUGAUAGAUUGACAAAUGAGCUAAAAUUGAUGAUGCUUUUGUAGAGGAGCAGUGGAGCACAAACAGUGACAUAAAUCUACAAAAUCGAGGCCACCAAGAUUUAGGUUCCUUUCUCUAUUUUUAUUAAGGACAAUGGUGUGGCAUAUAGUCAUGUAACGUUUGUCAGUUGAAACUGGUUUCAUUAAAUCUAACCAGAGCUGAAUGCCCAAAGAAAAAUAUUACCCAACUGACCAAGCCUUUAAUGAAGGUUGGGUCAAUAUUGAUCUAAUCAGUUGGUUGCUUUUAGUUUUUGAAUAGCCCAAUCCACUUCCUAUGCUUUAACUCAAACUAAAUGCAAAGCAUGUCAAAGGCCAUGAUUCAUAUCAAGUCCUCAACCCAACCUGCUUAAAUAAUCCAUAAGCACAACCACUAAUUUUGAGCUUGGUCUUUCUUAAUGAGCAGUAUUAAAGGAUCCAUGAACCUAUCAUCCUUUUCCACUUAAGUUUGUUGACAAGUUCAACCGUUAUAGAUUAAUCACGUUUACUUGAAACCAAGAUACCAUGUAAGUUAUUGUGUUCCCCGGAAA
RNAcentral lists this unclassified non-coding RNA (1407 nucleotides) under Hevea brasiliensis (rubber tree). The record is from RNAcentral. Lineage: Eukaryota; Viridiplantae; Streptophyta; Magnoliopsida; Malpighiales; Euphorbiaceae.